Molecule: ribosomal RNA, 305 nt
Filed under: uncultured bacterium
Lineage: Bacteria
Description: bacterial SSU rRNA
Rfam family: Bacterial small subunit ribosomal RNA
Source: RNAcentral
UCCCGCCUACGGGACGCAGCAGUAGGGAAUAUUGCUCAAUGGGGGAAACCCUGAAGCAGCAACGCCGCGUGGAGGAUGAAGGUUUUCGGAUUGUAAACUCCUUUUGUUAGAGAAGAUAAUGACGGUAUUUAACGAAUAAGCACCGGCUAACUCCGUGCCAGCAGCCGCGGUAAUACGGAGGGUGCAAGCGUUACUCGGAAUCACUGGGCGUAAAGAGCGCGUAGGCGGGAUAGCAAGUCAGAUGUGAAAUCCUAUGGCUUAACCAUAGAACUGCAUUUGAAACUGGUAUUCUAGCGUAUGGGCGG